UGCCCGUACCGCAAACCGACACAGGUAGUCAAGAUGAGAAUUCUAAGGUGAGCGAGCGAACUCUCGUUAAGGAACUCGGCAAAAUGACCCCGUAACUUCGGGAGAAGGGGUGCUCUUUAGGGUUAACACCCAGAAGAGCCGCAGUGAAUAGGCCCAAGCGACUGUUUAUCAAAAACACAGGUCUCUGCUAAACCGUAAGGUGAUGUAUAGGGGCUGACGCCUGCCCGGUGCUGGAAGGUUAAGAGGAGUGGUUAGCUUCUGCGAAGCUACGAAUCGAAGCCCCAGUAAACGGCGGCCGUAACUAUAACGGUCCUAAGGUAGCGAAAUUCCUUGUCGGGUAAGUUCCGACCCGCACGAAAGGCGUAACGAUUUGGGCACUGUCUCAACGAGAGACUCGGUGAAAUCAUAGUACCUGUGAAGAUGCAGGUUACCCGCGACAGGACGGAAAGACCCCGUGGAGCUUUACUGUAGCCUGAUAUUGAAAUUCGGCACAGCUUGUACAGGAUAGGUAGGAGCCUUUGAAACGUGAGCGCUAGCUUACGUGGAGGCGCUGGUGGGAUACUACCC
This 567-nucleotide ribosomal RNA is filed under the name Staphylococcus aureus. Its description in RNAcentral is "bacterial LSU rRNA". It matches the Rfam family "Bacterial large subunit ribosomal RNA", at positions 1639 to 2205 of the family's 2925-position model. Lineage: Bacteria; Bacillati; Bacillota; Bacilli; Caryophanales; Staphylococcaceae. The record is from RNAcentral.